CCUACGGGGAGCAGCAGUGGGGGAUAUUGCACAAUGGGGGAAACCCUGAUGCAGCGACGCCGCGUGUGGGAAGACGGUCUUCUGGAUUGUAAACCACUGUCCCCAGGGACGAAAAUGACGGUACCUGGGGAGGAAGCUCCGGCUAACUACGUGCCAGCAGCCGCGGUAAUACGUAGGGAGCAGGCGUUGUCCGGAAUUACUGGGUGUAAAGGGAGCGUAGGCGGGGAUGCAAGUUGGGUGUCAAAACUACCGGCUCAACCGAUAGUCGCACUCAAAACUGCAACUCUUGAGUGAAGUAGAGGCAGGCGGAAUUCCUAGUGUAGCGGUGAAAUGCGUAGAUAUUAGGAGGAACACCAGUGGCGAAGGCGGCCUGCUGGGCUUUUACUGACGCUGAGGCUCGAAAGUGUGGGGAGCAAACAGGAUUAGAUACCCUGGCAGUC
Molecule: ribosomal RNA, 440 nt
Filed under: uncultured bacterium
Lineage: Bacteria
Description: partial 16S ribosomal RNA
Rfam family: Bacterial small subunit ribosomal RNA
Source: RNAcentral